RNAcentral lists this ribosomal RNA (29 nucleotides) under Nodulisporium sp. CRI258. Its description in RNAcentral is "partial 28S ribosomal RNA". Lineage: Eukaryota; Fungi; Ascomycota; Sordariomycetes; Xylariales; Xylariaceae. RNAcentral also lists the same sequence under 1 other name. The record is from RNAcentral.
UUGACCUCGGAUUAGGUAGGAAUACCCGC